Molecule: long non-coding RNA, 703 nt
Organism: Humulus lupulus (European hop)
Lineage: Eukaryota; Viridiplantae; Streptophyta; Magnoliopsida; Rosales; Cannabaceae
Exons: 2
Source: RefSeq, a predicted model, not a curated record
GUCUUAAUCACUGCACGUUUUCUCGUGAUUCGUGUAAAAAACUUAAAACCCUCAUUAAACCCAAAGAUCAACCACAGCUACAGGAGAUCAUGGAGCCAUAUACAACAAAAAGCAGACAAAGACACUCACAAGAAUACAUAGUUGUGCCAGUCUCUCUCUCUUCCCCCCCUCCCCCUCUGUCUCUCUCUUCAUUUCUUUUCUAUCUGUAUGUACAUAUACAGAUACAGAGUGUGUGUGUGUGUGUGUUUUAGAGAGAGUGAGUGAAGAGGGUUCCUGUCCAUUGUGAGAAUAUUCAAAGCUAAGCUAGGGCUACUGAGAUGGCAUUUGCAACUGAGCUUCAAUCUGGUUUCCAUGGCGCUUCGUAUUCUUUUUUCUUCUCAAAGCAACUUUUCUUGGAUUAUGGUUUCUUCUCCACCAGGUUAAGAGAGAGCAGUGAUCCCUAUGUAACAGCACCAUUGGAAUAUGUAAACCGAUAGGUGCAUAUGCAGAGCAGGGAAUGAAGCCGUUGGUCCGUCAAGCAUGUCAAUAGGAGGGGUUGAAUUGACAUAUAUUAGUUAUGUUACAAAACGCAGUUUUACAUAUUUUUGGAUUUGUGCUUGUUAGCUCAUUGUUAUAGUCAUUCUACUGGCUGAUUUCUGACUGUAUUUAGUACUCUUGGUACCUACCAAUUCAUGUCAAAGAAAUCACAAUUGUGGUUUUGCCA